GUUGGAACCUAAGCAUAUAAUUGUAGUUCAAAAAUAACAUUAGCCUGCCAUUCUAGUCAAGCCAUCAUACCCUACAUUCUAGUUGUAACAUUAAGCUAAGCAAUGAGCAAGUUGUUGGACAUUGCAAGAUGGUACGUGCUUUGUUGAUGAUGAGAAAUAAAGAAAUCUAGAAUAAAUGCUUGAAGUAUUGAGUUCGUGGAACUCUUCAACAAUACUUGUCGGAGCAGCUCGCCAAAUUAUAUAGGUCCUUAAGGCACUAAGACUAAUUGGCCUACUCUAAAAACAUGAGGCUCAUAAAUCAUCUCCGACUUGCAUAAUACUCCAUCCGUUUCAAAUUAUAAGUCAUUCCAAGAAUCUUGGAGAGUCAAAGCAUUUUCAAGUUUGACUAAAAAUAUAGAGAGAAAUAUAAAAAUUUAUGUCAUAAAAUAGGUACACUAUGAAAAUAUAACUAACAAAGAAUCUAAUGGUACUUGGUUGGUACUAAAAUGUUAUUAUUUUUCUAUAUAAAUUUGGUCAAACUUGAAAAACUUUGACUCUCCAAGAUUCUUGGAGUGACUUAUAAUUUGGGACAGAGGGAGUAUAUCCUAACUCCCUCACAACCCUAUUCUCCUAGUUGUCACCCCCUCUCUCUCUGCGCACGUGUAACUAUCCAUCUGCUCAACUUCUCUACUCUCUCUUUUUUUUCUCUAUGUAGAUAAAUCAUAUCUCCUAGAUCUAGUGGAGGAGGCUUACAAGCAACCUGCAUAGAAGAGGUGCCUCAAGCACAGAGAAGGCUAGCGGGCAGGCCUCGGAGGAGAAUGGUGGCUGCCAUGCGUAGAGGGAUCCUGCAGGCAUCACUAUGGGAAACAAGAACUUUGCCGAGAGCCCUGCUUUGCCGAGAGCCAGGGCGGACUCUAGGCAAAGACCCUUUGCUGACGGCUAAGCUCUCGGCAAAGCCGAGCACUCGGCAAAUGCCAGCUUUGCUGAAAGCAUGGCUCUUGGCAAAGGAAGGCUCUU
This 996-nucleotide long non-coding RNA is filed under the name Sorghum bicolor (sorghum). RNAcentral's name for it is "long non-coding RNA (SBIC_LNC017123)". Lineage: Eukaryota; Viridiplantae; Streptophyta; Magnoliopsida; Poales; Poaceae. The record is from RNAcentral.